This 496-nucleotide ribosomal RNA is filed under the name uncultured bacterium. RNAcentral's name for it is "partial 16S ribosomal RNA". It matches the Rfam family "Bacterial small subunit ribosomal RNA", at positions 28 to 506 of the family's 1533-position model. The record is from RNAcentral.
GAUGAACGCUGGCGGCGUGCCUAAUACAUGCAAGUCGAGCGAACAGACGAGGAGCUUGCUCCUCUGACGUUAGCGGCGGACGGGUGAGUAACACGUGGAUAACCUACCUAUAAGACUGGGAUAACUUCGGGAAACCGGAGCUAAUACCGGAUAAUAUAUUGAACCGCAUGGUUCAAUAGUGAAAGACAGUUUUGCUGUCACUUAUAGAUGGAUCCGCGCCGCAUUAGCUAGUUGGUAAGGUAACGGCUUACCAAGGCAACGAUGCGUAGCCGACCUGAGAGGGUGAUCGGCCACACUGGAACUGAGACACGGUCCAGACGCCUACGGGAGGCAGCAGUAGGGAAUCUUCCGCAAUGGGCGAAAGCCUGACGGAGCAACGCCGCGUGAGUGAUGAAGGGCUUCGGAUCGUAAAACUCUGUUAUUAGGGAAGAACAAAUGUGUAAGUAACUAUGCACGUCUGGACGGUACCUAAUCAGAAAGCCACGGCUAACUACGG